This 1194-nucleotide ribosomal RNA is filed under the name Bacillus sp. (in: firmicutes). RNAcentral describes it as "bacterial SSU rRNA". It matches the Rfam family "Bacterial small subunit ribosomal RNA", at positions 57 to 1236 of the family's 1533-position model. Lineage: Bacteria; Bacillati; Bacillota; Bacilli; Caryophanales; Bacillaceae. The record is from RNAcentral.
GCAAGUCGAGCGGACAGAAGGGAGCUUGCUCCCGGAUGUUAGCGGCGGACGGGUGAGUAACACGUGGGUAACCUGCCUGUAAGACUGGGAUAACUCCGGGAAACCGGAGCUAAUACCGGAUAGUUCCUUGAACCGCAUGGUUCAAGGAUGAAAGACGGUUUCGGCUGUCACUUACAGAUGGACCCGCGGCGCAUUAGCUAGUUGGUGAGGUAACGGCUCACCAAGGCGACGAUGCGUAGCCGACCUGAGAGGGUGAUCGGCCACACUGGGACUGAGACACGGCCCAGACUCCUACGGGAGGCAGCAGUAGGGAAUCUUCCGCAAUGGACGAAAGUCUGACGGAGCAACGCCGCGUGAGUGAUGAAGGUUUUCGGAUCGUAAAGCUCUGUUGUUAGGGAAGAACAAGUGCAAGAGUAACUGCUUGCACCUUGACGGUACCUAACCAGAAAGCCACGGCUAACUACGUGCCAGCAGCCGCGGUAAUACGUAGGUGGCAAGCGUUGUCCGGAAUUAUUGGGCGUAAAGGGCUCGCAGGCGGUUUCUUAAGUCUGAUGUGAAAGCCCCCGGCUCAACCGGGGAGGGUCAUUGGAAACUGGGAAACUUGAGUGCAGAAGAGGAGAGUGGAAUUCCACGUGUAGCGGUGAAAUGCGUAGAGAUGUGGAGGAACACCAGUGGCGAAGGCGACUCUCUGGUCUGUAACUGACGCUGAGGAGCGAAAGCGUGGGGAGCGAACAGGAUUAGAUACCCUGGUAGUCCACGCCGUAAACGAUGAGUGCUAAGUGUUAGGGGGUUUCCGCCCCUUAGUGCUGCAGCUAACGCAUUAAGCACUCCGCCUGGGGAGUACGGUCGCAAGACUGAAACUCAAAGGAAUUGACGGGGGCCCGCACAAGCGGUGGAGCAUGUGGUUUAAUUCGAAGCAACGCGAAGAACCUUACCAGGUCUUGACAUCCUCUGACAACCCUAGAGAUAGGGCUUUCCCUUCGGGGACAGAGUGACAGGUGGUGCAUGGUUGUCGUCAGCUCGUGUCCUGAGAUGUUGGGUUAAGUCCGCAACGAGCGCAACCCUUGAUCUUAGUUGCCAGCAUUCAGUUGGGCACUCUAAGGUGACUGCCGGUGACAAACCGGAGGAAGGUGGGGAUGACGUCAAAUCAUCAUGCCCCUUAUGACCUGGGCUACACACGUGCUACAAUGGACA